This is a long non-coding RNA of Mytilus californianus (California mussel), 1918 nucleotides long. RefSeq lists it as uncharacterized. NCBI's taxonomy places the organism in Eukaryota, Metazoa, Mollusca, Bivalvia, Mytilida, Mytilidae. The record is from RefSeq and is a predicted model, not a curated record. The transcript has 2 exons.
UUUGUGUUAUAAUAUUUUUUAAUAAAUAAAAUUAUCUCAAAAGGUUUUAUAACAUAUUUUACCUAUUUAUGUGAAGAAAAAAAAUUAAUAACAUUUUUUAUAUAUAUAUUUUGUUGAAUGGAACAGUAUGCAUCAAAUAUUAAACAUUUUAAAAACUUAUAAUGGGGUAGUAUGGAGGAUCUUUCCUUUUUUGAAUUAUACAAUUUUGUUUUACAAAAUCUCUGAUACUGAUGUUAGGACAAAAUCUCUGAUACUGAUGUUAGGACAAAAUCUCUGAUACUGAUGUUAGGACAAAAUCUCUGAUACUGAUGUUAGGACAAAAUCUCUGAUACUGAUGUUAGGACAAAAUAUCAAUUUCAAUGAUUUAUAAAUAUAUACGAUACGAAAUAGUAAACAUGUAUUUAGUCUAUGAGGUACGAAAUGGUUAAUACAGUUGGCCCUUAGGGUACAAAAUGGUAAAUGUUGGGUACGAAAUGGUAAUUUAGGGUAUGAAACAAUUUGCUGCCAAAUUUUCAACCCAAAACAUAAACUGCUUUAAUUUUAGUCUUAAAAACUGUACAUCCCUUCUAUGGAGAAUUUUAGGAAUUUUAUCAACUUCAAUCACUAUUAUAAAACCUCAAGGAUUGCAAAAGGGAAAUAAAAAGAAUUUUUUUCAGAACUUGAAAUAAACAGAUAAAACAUGGGCAAAUGAUUGAUUAAUUACUUUGAGUUGUUUUGAUAAUAUUCAUUAAACUGAAACAAUCUACAGCCUAUUUAAAAAACAUGCAAAUGAUUCAUUAAUCAAAUUAUUUUGAUAAUAUUCAUUAAACUAGUACUGAAACAUUCAACAGCCUAUUUCAUUGAAGAAGUGAAGAAAUAAAUAUAUAAAAAUUCCUUCCAUGUACUUUGUGCCAACAGCGGUGCAUGAUCUGUUAGGUUUCAAGCAAAAUUAUUAGGGUUGGUUGAACGAUUUUGAUCAUGUUGCCUUCAAUAAACAGCUGCGCCAUGAGCGCAUGAUACACCCGUCGCUUUUUCAAAGAAUAAAGUUCAAUAACUUCUCAAUGUCAUAUCAGAAAUUUAUAAAAAACUAAAGGGAGGUUAUUUCAAUAGAUAUAAACCAGUCACCAAAGUUUCAUGAAAACUGCUCAAAGCACUUUUAAGUAUAUAUUGUUCGAAAACUUGAAAAUCACCCCUUUUUUAAGAAUAAAAUCCCAUAACUCGUAAACGCAAAAUCUAAAAUUAAUAAAAAUCGAAAGGCAGCUUACAUCAAUAGAUAUAAACAAUUCACUAAAGUUCCAUGAAAACUGCUCAAAGUAAUUUUGAGUUGUUGUCCGAAAACUGGAAAAUCACCUUUUUUUAAUGAAUAAAACCCUAUAACUCAGAAACAUAAAAUCUAAAAUUUAUAAAAAUCAAAAGGGAGCUCAAAUAAAUAAAUAAAAACAAUUCACCAAAGUUUCUUGCAAAUUGGUGAAAGUGUUUAUGAGUUUUUGUCCGAAAACUAGAAAAUCCCCCUUUUUUAAUGAAUUUAACCCCAUACUUCGGAAAUGUAAAAUCUGAAAUUUAUAAAAAUCGAAAGAGAGCUCUAGUCAAUAUAUAUAAACAAUGCACCAAAGUUUCAUACAAAUUGGUUAAAGUGUUUUUGAGUUUUGUCUGACAUGUUGACGACAGACAGAAAGAUGGUCAACUUAAUACCAUAAUACGUCUUUUAAAAGGGAGUAUAAAAAUUGAAAAUAAACUAAAUACAAAAAAUGGUUCAUGUUUAAUAUGAGAAAUUAUUGUAAACACAAUAAUAAAUAUGAUUGUAUACAAUUUUCCAAUAAAAAUGUUACAAAAGGUAACCAUGGUAACAAUACAUUAUCUUUUUAAAUUCAUGAUAACCAUAAUCGUAAUCGAAAAGUUUUGUUCAUUUUAUAUUAGCCCCUGUCACCAAUAUACAAAA